RNAcentral lists this non-coding RNA (175 nucleotides) under Paramoeba aestuarina. Lineage: Eukaryota; Discosea; Flabellinia; Dactylopodida; Paramoebidae. The record is from RNAcentral.
AGGGCAAACAGAGAGCCAAAUGUACUCCAACCAAAACCCCUCUCCUGCUUUUGAAGAAUUCUUGUCUUUUUUGGGAGAUAAAAUUUCUCUUCGUGGGUGGGAUGAUUUCCGAGGGGGGUUGGAUGUCAGUGACAAGAGCCAGACAGGGACAGAAUCUGUAUUUGUGAAGAGUGGG